GGGGGCGCAACGGAUUCGACGGGAUUGAAUUGUGAUGGGAAGGCGUGCCGGGUUCCGAGCUCCCGUAAAACGAUCGGAAAAAACACAAUUGCCAAUCAGCAAUUUGCAUACGCUGCUUAAUUAAUUAAGUAGCCGCUCCCGCCAUCGAGCCCGCGCGAUGGUGACGAGCGUCAUUUUGCGGGAUAGGUCCCAAGCUUCGGUCCGGAGCCCAAAACCGAGAUCAAUCGGACUAGGUGGCAGUUAUUUUGCCGGUUUUGAGGCUGCCAUCGAAACUAUAGAAUCGGAUACGCACGUAGUCGUUCCAUUGCAGGCUUUUUC
Molecule: transfer-messenger RNA, 318 nt
Filed under: Acidobacteriota bacterium
Lineage: Bacteria; Pseudomonadati; Acidobacteriota
Description: partial transfer-messenger RNA
Rfam family: transfer-messenger RNA
About the family: Bacterial tmRNA, also known as 10Sa RNA or SsrA, is named for its dual tRNA and mRNA-like properties. Its role is to liberate the mRNA from a stalled ribosome. To accomplish this part of the tmRNA is used as a reading frame that ends in a translation stop signal.
Source: RNAcentral